Molecule: ribosomal RNA, 253 nt
Filed under: uncultured bacterium
Lineage: Bacteria
Description: partial 16S ribosomal RNA
Rfam family: Bacterial small subunit ribosomal RNA
Source: RNAcentral
UACAGGGGGGGCAAGCGUUGUUCGGAAUUACUGGGCGUAAAGGGCCAGUAGGCGGCCAACUAAGUCACACGUGAAAUCCCCAGGCUUAACCUGGGAACUGCGUGUGAUACUGGAUGGCUUGAAUUCGGGAGAGGGAUGCAGAAUUCCAGGUGUAGCGGUGAAAUGCGUAGAUAUCUGGAGGAAUACCGGUGGCGAAGGCGGCAUCGUGGACCGACAUUGACGCUGAACGGCGAAAGCUAGGGGAGCAAACGGG